UUCCUAUCUCGCUUGUCUUCAUUUGUCGUCUGACCAUCACACAUCUGCAGUUUUCAUAGGCAGCCAUGGUGGGGGUCAUUAUAAUAGAUGAAGAAAGUACUAGAAAGCAAGGAGCUGAAAAAGAGCGAUACCUUGAGAGAGCAGACACACAUUGCCAUAGGAGGAGACCUUGAGUUUACCCUGUCCAGGUGAAAUUUGCAUUUUUAAAGGGACAUGGUUAAAGAUCAAGAAGCUUCCAAACCUAAAGAAAUGAAGUCCUUGUUGUUAGGAAAUCAAGUGGUGUAACUGGUGUUUGGGAUGGAAAAUGUGUUUAAGAUGGAAAAUAUUCAAAUGUGUGCCAGAACAGGGUGAGCCAUUCGAUAUCCAUAAAAUUGUAACAGUG
Molecule: long non-coding RNA, 382 nt
Filed under: Mustela putorius furo (domestic ferret)
Lineage: Eukaryota; Metazoa; Chordata; Mammalia; Carnivora; Mustelidae
Description: lncRNA (ENSMPUG00000028728.1)
Source: RNAcentral